GUAACAGAGGGUUUGAUCAUGGCUCUGACGAACGCUGGCGGGAUGCUUUACACAUGCAAUGAACGGCAGCACGGACUUCGGUCUGGUAAGGAGUGGCGAAUCGGGUGAGUAAUGUGACCGAACGUGCCUAGUAGCGGGGGAUAACUACGCGAAAGCGUAGCUACACGCACACGCUCCUUUCGGGGAAAGCGGGGGACCUCGGGCCUCGCACUAUUAGAGCGGCCAUAUCGGAUUAGCUAGCUGGUGGGGCAACGGCUCACCAAGGCGACGAUCCGUAGCUGGUUUGAGAGGACGACCAGCCACACUGGGACUGGAGACACGGCCCAGACUUACGGAGGCAGCAGUGGGGAAUUUUUGGACAGUGGGGGAAACUCCUGAUCCAGCCAUCUCCGCGUGUGCGAUGAAGGCCUUCGUCAGGAAGACCUCUUGGCAGGAAAGAAACGGCACGGGAUAACAGCUCCCGUGCAACUGACGGUACCCGCAGAAUAAGCACCGGCUAACUACGUGCCAGCAGCCGCGGUACAUGUAGGGUGCAAGCGUUAAUCGGAAUUACUGGGCGUAAAAGCGUGCAGCGUCUGGAAAGAAAGAUGUGAAAUCCCAGAGCUUAACUUUAACCCAUUUUUAACUACCGAGCUAGAGUGUGUCAGAGGGAGGUGAAUUCCCGCGUAGCAGUGAAAUGCGUAGAUAUGCGGAGGAACACCGACGGCGAAGGCAGCCUCCUGGGAUAACACUGACGCCUGCGCACGAAAGCGUGGGGAGCAAACAGGAUUAGAUAACUGGUAGUCCACGCCCCAAACGAUGUCAACUAGCUGUUGGGGCUUCGGGCCUUGCAGCGCAGCUAACGCGUGAAGUUGACCGCCGUCUGGGAGUACGGUCGCAAGAUUAAACCAAAGGAAAUUGACGGGGACCCGCACAAGCGGUGGAUGAUGUGAUUAAUUCGAUGCAACGCAAAACCUUACCUACCCUUGACAUGUCUGAACUCUGAGAAGAGAUUUGGGAGUGCUCAUGAGAACCGGAACACAGGUGCCGUACGGCUGUCGUCAGCUCGUGUCGAGAUGUUGGGCGGAGUCCCGCAACGAAGGUAACCCUUGUCAUUAGUUAUGCCAUGAAAGGGCACUCUUACGAUCGCCGGUGACAAACCGAGGAAGGUGGGGAUGACGUCAAGUCCUCAUGGCCCUUAUGGGUAGGGCUUCACACGUCAUACAAUGGUCGGGACAGAGUGGUCACAACCUGGCGAGGAGGAGCCAAUCCCAGAAACCCGAUCGUAGUCUGGAUCGUGCAGUCUGCAACCUGACUGCGUGAAGUCGGAAUCGCUAGUAAUCGCGGAUCAGUGAUGUCGCGGUGUGAAUACGUUCCCGGUCUUGUACACACUGCCUGUCACACCAUGGGAGUGGGUUUUACCAGAAGUAGUUAGCCCUAACCGUAUGAGGGCGAUUACCACGGUAGAUUCACGUGACUGGGGUAGUCGUAACAAGGUAA
Molecule: ribosomal RNA, 1479 nt
Filed under: uncultured Bordetella sp.
Lineage: Bacteria; Pseudomonadati; Pseudomonadota; Betaproteobacteria; Burkholderiales; Alcaligenaceae
Description: partial 16S-23S ribosomal RNA intergenic spacer
Rfam family: Bacterial small subunit ribosomal RNA
Source: RNAcentral